This 40498-nucleotide long non-coding RNA is filed under the name Pelobates cultripes (western spadefoot toad). Lineage: Eukaryota; Metazoa; Chordata; Amphibia; Anura; Pelobatidae. The record is from RNAcentral.
GAAUGAAAUGUUGCCAUGUUUUUAUUGAACACACCAUGUAAACAUUCACAGUGCAGGUGGAAAAAGUAUGUGAACAUUUGGAUUUAAUAACUGGUUGAACCUCCUUUGGCAGCAAUAACUUCAACCAAACAUUUCCUGUAGUUGCAGAUCAGACGUGCACAACGGUCAGGAGUAAUUCUUGACCAUUCCUCUUUACAGAACUGUUUCAGUUCAGCAAUAUUCUUGGGAUAUCUGGUGUGAAUCGCUUUCUUGAGGUCAUGCUACAGCAUCUCAAUCGGGUUGAGGUCAGGACUCUGACUGGGCCACUUCAGAAGGCGUAUUUUCUUCUGUUUAAGCCAUUCUGUUGUUGAUUUACUUCUAUGCUCUGGGUCAUUGUCCUGUUGCAACACCCAUCUUCUGUUGAGCUUCAGCUGGUAGACAGAUGGCCUUAAGUUCUCCUGCAAAAUGUUUUGAUAAACUUGGGAAUUCAUUUUUCCUUCGAUGAUAGCAAACCGUCCAGGCCCUGACGCAGCAAAGCAGCCCCAAACCAUGAUGCCCCCACCACCAUACUUCACAGUUGGGAUGAUGUUUUGAUGUUGAUGUGCUGUGCCUUUUUUCACCACACAUAGUGUUGUGUGUUUCUUCCAAACAACUCAACUUUGGUUUCAUGUGUCCACAGAAUAUUUUGCCAGUACUGCUGUGGAACAUCCAGGUGCUCUUGUGCAAACUGUAAACAUGCAGCAAUGUUUUGUUUGGACAGCAAUGGCUUCCUCUGUGGUAUCCUCCCAUGAAAUCCAUUCUUGUUUAGUGUUUUACUUAUUGAUGUUACCAGGGAUGUUUUACGUAUUGAUGUUACAGGGAUGUUAGCAUUUGCCAGUGACUUUUGUAAGUCUUUAGCUGACACUCUAGGAUUCUUCUUCACCUCAUUGAGCAGUUUGCACUGUGCUCUUGCAGUCAUCUUUACAAGACGGCCACUUCUAGGGAGAAUAGCAGCAGUGCUGAACUUUCUCCUUUUAUAGACAAUUUGUCUUACAGUGUACUGAUGAACAGCAAUGAGAUACUUGUAUAACCGUUUCCAGCUUUAUGCAAGUCAACAAUUCUUAAUCGUAGGUCUUCUGAGAGCUCUUUUGUGCAAGGCAUCAUUCACAUCAGGCAAUGCUUCUUGUGAAAAGCAAACCCAGAACUGGUGUGUAUGUUUUUUAUAGGGCAGGGCAGCUGUAACCAACACCUCCAAUCUCAUCUCAUUGACUGGACUCCAGUUGUCUGACAUCUCACUCCAAUUAGCUCUUGGAGAUGUCAUUAGUCUAGGGGUUCACAUACUUUUUUCACCUGCACUGUGAAUGUUUACAUGGUGUGUUCAAUAAAAAACAUGGCAACAUUUCAUUAUUUGUGUGUUAUUAGUUUAAGCAGACUGUGAUUGUCUGUUGUUGUGACUUAGAUGAUGAUCAGAUCACAUUUUAUAACCAAUUUGUGAGAAAUCCAUAUCAUUCCAAAGGGUUCACAUACUUUUUCUUGCAACUGUAUAUGCAGCUCAGUGUAUUGGCACAUUUUGCUGAAAUGUCUAAUGCAGACCCUAUGAUUUUAUUUUCAAGUGAAUAAUAAAACUGAAAAAUGAUUGGAGAUCAACGUUUUACAGAUAGGUCAUGUGACAAAAGCCAUUUUGCCACUGGGUUUUGGAGGGGGCUACUUGCCAGCCUUUUACCCUGUGACUAUGGCCUAUUUAAUUUAUUUUGGCUGAGAGGUCCUAAUUGUGCCUAUUGGCACUUUACACAUUGUGAAGGGGCCGCCAUUUGACAUUCAAACACGUGGUAGCAGCCAUCUUGUUCGCAUGGACUAAGACCAUGAAUAGACUUCAGGGAGACUUAGCCGCGAAUGCCCUGGAAUUAUUUUUGGCAUGAAAACCUCGCGGUUCCCGGUCGGUCCUCCAACGGCACUUAGCUGCAAAUCUAUGGAACUGUUUUGGGCAUGAAAUCCUGGAUUUGCCUGGGCAAAAAUAUAACUUCCCAAAAAUUUCUGAACCCCUGAUGUGAUCUGGGUGAUUUUUGGAUAUGUUGUUCACCCAGAUCAGGGGAUGUAACAUUUAUGGGGGUAUGUCGUGUUGUGGGGUACUUAUGGUACUUUAUAAAAAUGCGUAUUUUUUCUGCCUUGAGAUAAUUACGUUAAUGCAUUAACUACCUUAAUUAUAUCACAGGUAGAGGGGAGGGAUUGUUUACUGUAUGUGGGAGUGUCGGUCAUUGUUAUAUUGUUCUUUUUGGUCUGUACAGUUUGUAAUGCGGUGCUCCAUCAGGUCCAGGGCGUGUGCCUCUGGCCUGUGGAAUUGUAUAUUAAGCCAACCUGUACCAUUAAACCUUCAGACUUCUUCACCCUCAAUACUGAGUUCUGUCUCUGAUUGUAGGAAACCGCUAUAUCACUAUCAGGGCUUGCUAUACUCAGUAUACUCCCUGGGAUAAUCACUAGCUCUUGUAAGAGCUGUUCCUCAUACGCUUUCCUGGAGGAGAGGUCUUUCCCACACAGUCCUGGAAGUCAGCGGUUGGUCCAGGGUGGGAGAAAGACGAUGAGAUUCCAGUUAAGCUAUGGUGGCUAUGGAGUCUGCAGUGCUUGUGGUGUCUGGUGCGGUGCUUAUAGUCCUCAGCAUCACAGGUCAUAUUGAGAUGGAAUAGGCAUACAAUUUAGGAACCUUCGAUAAAAGUUCUUAAUAAAGAUUUUGACCUAUGUACCUUUUCAUAUAUUUGUAAUAUAUAUGUUUCAUACAGUAUGUGUUAUGAUGUAAAAUAGUGAGAGUGUGUAGCGCUAAGCAGUAUUCACUUACUCCCCAAAACUGUCUAGGGGUGUAGAGGGUAGAUAGGUUGCUGUGAAAAUAAUGGAAAAAUAUAUAGUGUAUUCCGAUAUAUAAAUGGGAAUAUACACUCUAUAUUAGAAAGCACUCACAUGGUAUAGAGCCUAUUAAGGGCAGGCUCUAAUCACUUUCGCUUGUGUGUACAUAAGGUGACACACACACUUUGGAUCCAAAUCCUGGAUGUUCCUCAGCGAUAAAGAGAAAAAAAAACAGGGAAUACACUAUAUAUUUUUCCAUUAUUUUCACAGCAACCUAUGUACCCUCUACACCCCUAGACAGUUUUGGGGAGUAAGUGAAUACUCCUUAGCGCUACACACGCUCACUAAUGGCAUAUCUAUUGUGUAAAUAGUGUUUCUUUUUACAUUGUAUUAUAAUAGGAUUGGGGAGUUCCUAUUUUUUGUUUGGAAGCUGCUACAAUCAAAGGAGCACCUUUAAAUUGUAUUUAAGCGCCUAACAGCACAGAACACCUUGUUGAUUAGUAUGUGUUAUGAACUCAUAAAUACUAUCUUUCAUUAUAUACACCCUUUUUUUUAUUUCUACCAUUUUUUUUCUCUUUUUUUCAUUUAGUGGAUGAUCCUCUUAAUACAACAAAACAAUGCAUUUUAAUUAUUUUGCAGUAGGUACUAGAUAAUCAAACAUACUACAUGAAUGUUAUGUACUCUCUUGCUAUUUGAGUACAAAUGAAUAUGUAACAUUAGUUAUCGCAAUUGUAACUAUUUGGACUUGCAAUUGUAACCAUCUGAACCCACAAUAUGCUUUAAGAGGACUUAAAGAAACACUAUAGGCACUUAGACAACUUCAGCUCGUUGAUGUGGUCUGGGUGCAAUGUCCCUGUCCCAUUUAGUCCUGCAAUGUAAACAUUGCAGUGCUAAGACAGACAUUCUGUGGCUUUUACAAACUUGUGGCCUACUUCAAACAUUAAACACAUAAUUAAAACAUCUUGUGAGCCCACUCUUACAGAUUAACUCAUUUGUAUGUAUUUGAAUCUGAACAAACACAUUAUAUAGCAUUUGUAUUGUAUACAAAAUGUCACAUCUUCCUGCAGUGCAACGUUAAAGAGAAUAAUAAAAGGUACUGUUUCCUCAACAGUCGAAAAGAGGAGACUUUGGCAUGAAACAGAAAGACAAUAAAAAGAGCACUAAGGAAAGAAAAAGAGAAGAGAAAUGUGACAGUGAGUGCCAGACCCCAACCCACGAAAGGAAAAUAGACAGUAAUAUCAAUGAACAGCCUCCCAUAGAAGCCAUGUUUUUCUAAAAGUUUGAAAAGUAUUCCUGACAUCACAUAGUUGUCUUUAGACUUGAGCAAGACCAUCUCUACAGAAGGUAUCUCAGUGCUUAACCAUGGUUGAGCUAAAACUUCUCUGGCUGCUAACAUUAUUUUAUCAAAAUGUGUUGGCUCAACAGUAGGCAUACUCUCCAUAAGUUUAGAAAAUGGAUAAACCCAAAGAUCUAAUCUCACCAAAACCCUGUGUCAAGAGGUCCCAGAAAGUGUCAAUUAUGGUGCAAAACCACCACAUAUGCCCAUUACAUUACAACACGUUCAUCGAAAAUGAUAAUUCAGGUAAAAAAAAAGGUAUUUUUGUAAAAGAAAGUCACAUUUCACAUUUGCUGAAAACAGCAACAUGAAUAGUUGGUGUAAGACUUACCAAAGAGGUUUUGAUUUGACAUGGCAGGUGAGCUUACACUUGAAUGGCCAUUGGAGUGAGCCUUAAAAAAACCUCCAUGUACUUAAAUGUGCAUAAGGAUUUGCUACCAGAUCCAUAUUUGGUAAGUACUUGGAAUAGUCUGCUGAGGUCAGAGUUGUGCUGCGUUGAAAUUCAGAGAAUGAGACAACUGAAUCAUUAACAGCAUGACUUUUUAUUUGCAGUGAUAAAAUGUUAUUGAUUAGAAAUUAUAUUUUAAUGAUCUAGAUAUUACAGCAAGACAAGCACAAACCUAUAAGCCAAACAUAUAGGAACAGAAAUGUAAUGCAGGUAUUUUAGCAAUAAAAACACUUUGUAUCUCAGAGUAAAUAGUACAAAUGCAAAUGGCAAUAAACACAUCAGAAACCAAAAUAUUACAAAACUGGCAAAUAUAGCAAUAGCGACAAAGAGAAGAGAAAGACCCCUUACUUAGCCAGAUAUUGGUUAUAGAAAUAUAGCGGUUCUGUCUCUGCUGAUUAUUGUUAUUGUCAUAUUUUCAGGGAUUGUAAUAUUUUGAUUUUGAUUUGCUUAUAUAUUAAUUGCUGUUUGUAUUUUUACAAAUAAAGUGUCCUUUGUACGUAUUAGAUGUUAUAUUUACAUAUAUUGAUAUAUAGGUAAAUUGUGAUGUGCGUAUGGGAUACUCUCUAUUUCAGAAACUUAUUUUGCUAUUUUUAUUGUGCAUUUGGGAUCACGUCGUAUCUGAUUUACUUUUAUUAUUUGUUAAAUAUGUUUCCAUCCAUCUAACUCUAUAGUAGAAUAAAUAUAGAAUUAGACUUAGUAAAAUUAAGAAUUAACUAAUUACAUUUACGUUCCAUUUGUUCCUAAAUGUUGAAGGUGAAGAGCAGUUAUUAUGAUACCUAUAUCUACAAUGUUUCAUUCUAGAGAAUUGGCGUUUGUGCAUAGUACAUAUAGAGUAAGCUGCAUAAUCUGUAUUUUUUUUCUCAUCCAUUAAGAUGUGUUUUACGUUGUUAAUAGCAGUCUUUUUACUCUGUGAUUUCUAUUCAGUUCCUGCUCGUGUUUCAUCCUUAAGAAUGCUAUUCAGAUCAGAAUCUAAAUUUUUUGACAACUACUUGGCAAGCGUAAAAGUCAUUAAAAUGUAAUUUUAUUCACAUCCACAGCAGUCUAUAGGUUUUGUGUAAGGUUUACUACAAUGAAAAAACUUUUCUUCCAGUUCUCUAGUUCCUGGCAGGGAUUUCAAUUUCAGUAUGCAGAUCAGAUCAGAAGCACAGCCGUUAACACUGCAAUGCUUAAUAAAGCCAUCUGCAAAACAGACAGUAUAAUGAGUCAGAUUUAAUCAAUAACUUGUUCUAAAGGUAACCUUUAAUAUAUAGUGAAAUAAUAUAUUAUUGAACACCUGGGACAUAAGAAAUGUUCUACAUAUCAAUGUUCCAGUUUCACAAAGAGUAAGCAGCUUCAUUGUGUCAAAUUUUAUAUCUGUGUAGAGUGUGUUAGGCACAAGGGGAUGGGUGGGUCUAGUGUGGAGAGGAGUUAGGAGAGGGGUAGUAAGAUUGGAAUAGGAAGGGACAAUGUUUUAUCAAGUGGAAUAGGACAAGGUGGCAACUACUAAUUAGGUUUCAGAAUUACAGGGUAGCGGAGGAGCCUAUUUUUAUUCCUUUGGUCGCAACAAAAAUCUGAUAUCACAGUAUUAUCAUUAUUUUGAUUGUAUUUAUUAAAAUGUUCUAAAAGUGUUAGUUUUCUUCAUAGUAAGUUCUGGCAAACUUUGUAGGAAUGCAAGAUGCAGUGUGCAUUUUGUGGGGGAGACUGUGCAUGAUGUGUGGGGAAUUUAGAGUGUGUAGUAUUGUGUAGAUAAUGUAGUAUACGUUUAGCGGAAGAGGCUAUGUGUGUUGUGUGGAGAAUGUAUUGUGUGUUUAGUUGGGGAGGAUGUGUCUCUUGUGUGGGAUAUAAAUGCACAAUCAUAUAUUUACACUGUUCACUUUACUAAAUGCAUAUUUUGUCAUAUUGUUCCAGAUAUAAUAUUCCCAUUACCUGAUUUUUCUACUAUUCCUUGAUAGGAUAAACAACUAAACUGAUUUCCACGACAUGCCACUCGAUCUCUGGAAGCACAUCCAUCUGUCGAGUUGCUUCUAAAGCAAGACUCACAGUAUUUUCCAUUUGGUGCACCCAAGCUCUCCUCGUUUGCAUCUGAAAGUAAUGGGAUAAUCUAAGCAACAAAACACCCAAGAAUGUCAUCUUUUUAAAGUGAUUUUCCUUGCAAAUGAAAACAGUGUCAUAUGUAAGAAACAGCACUAGUUACAAUUUACAAUGUGCACGUCUACUCAUAGCUGUCAGAAAAACAGCUGCUGAUGGCUUCUGGCUUCUGGCAGAAAUAGAUUCAGUUAUUGAGUUAAUUUGACAUCCAAUAUACAUGUAAAAUAUGCUCACACUGAAUGCUGUGUGCAUCCAAUGCUUCUGAUGAAAAAAAGCCAGUCGUUUUUUUUACCAGCUAUAACUCAAAGGGUGCUGUGAAGUUUUAUAGUGCAUUUAUACAUUCAAAAUUAUUUUUCCCAGUUUCCCAAAAAUGGUCAAAUUAUUUUGCAAUGUUUGUAUUCACACUUGGGUUCCUGACAGGCAUUUAGGCUCCUCUUUGGCCAUUGAUGUGUAUCUGGCUUUGGCAGAGGUACCGGAUGCUGAGCUUGCUGGCCAUUUACUGGCUGAGAGGAUUAGCAAAUUAACGUAAUUCUGUGCAUAGUAUUGACAUUAGUCACCCAGGGUAUACCCUGAUCAAUAAAAUAUUUUUUCAAAAGAGACAAAAAUGUAUUGCAUCCAAUUCCCUAUUUUUUUUAUUUUUUAUUGUAUUCUCGGUUAUUUAUAUAUUUUAAAUAAAAAAACCUCUUACCAACUAUAUAAUAUUUUUUGCUAGAGAUAUCUGUAUGGUCUGUCCUGCUUAAUUCUAUGCUUUAAGACUUUAUAGUGGUAUUUACAAUGCACAUAUGGAGUUUAAACUUUUUGCCACCACGGUAGUCCCGGGAUGGCUAAUGUCAACUCUGCUGAAAGGGAGUUGACUCCCUUUGCUGACCCUCCGAGCCAGUAAAUGGCCAGCAAGUGCAUGCCUGGAGUAGCCCUUUAAUCUCAGAGAUGAGUGUCUUUAUUUUAUACAUCUCUUAAAAUUGGACUCUUGUAUAAAUUAUACUGUACCAGUAAGAAUUAUACCAUUUUAUGGUUAUAAGCUUAAUGUUUACUUUGAUACAUUCGUUCUUUGAAGAAAUGAUCAAUCUAACCUAAUACAAAUCUUAAAAAUUGGCAAUUGAUAUGGGUUCAAAUUAAUGAAAAAAAAAUAUUUUUUAUAGCUGUUUACAUAUCCUGCAAAACAUUUAAAUAAAUAUCUGAGUGUCUUAAAAUACUUACAAGUAAAUUUUGUUCCUUGGUUACAUAGAUCUCCUACACAAUGCUCAAUGUUGACAUGAGUUGACAUUUGAUCUUUGUCAGUGAUAGACAACAAGUGACUUCUAUCCAUUCCUUCAGCACAUCCUUUUUUUAUUGAUGGCAAAUAGUGAUUGGCUUUAGAUAGAAAAAUUGUCAUUCAGUUUUAAAAAUGCGUAUUUUUGGUAUAUAGAUCAGACAAACACAUAUGUUGAAAAAAAUGGAAAUUGACAUCUCUAAAGGAUCCCAGAACAAUUUGAGUUUAUAGUUAAAUCUAUUAGAGAACUUUUAAAGUGUAUUUUUUCUUCUUGACAUUCUCAUGGUAUACAAUAAUUCACCUAUUUCUUCUUAAGCAGAAGAAGAGGUGUUUUAAAUUCCAAAUCCUGCUCUUGUCCCUAGACUCCCCAGUGAGGACCUACUUAUUUGAUAUAGGCUGACUUGAGACUUAUUUUUGGCCAUUGUGUCAUGUUUUGUCUUGUCUUUGUGCAAAUUCGUUGUUUUAUCAGUGUGUGGUUUUUUUCACAGGGAUUAUAAUUAUUUUAUGCUGUGGUAUUCCUUUGGCUUUUAUGCAUUACUCUGAAAUUGUUUGUGCAUUUUCCAAAUUAUGUUUAUACUGAGCUUUUGUUGUAAACCACAUGAUAAACAUAUGGAUGUCAUAUUGCAAAGGAUGUAUAUAUUUGGUUACAAGUAUCUACUUUUAAAUAUUUCAUGAGUGCCAUAGACCCCCACGUUGUGUACAUUAAGGAAGAGCUAUGUACCUCUAUGACUUUGUUUCUCCAUUAAAUGCAUAGAUAGCUUUUUUUUUUAUACACCAUCAUUAACCACUUUGCACUUGAGUUUGUUUUGCAGUAAUUGAAACACAUUCACACUGCCUAAGUGAAACAGCCUAAUGUUCAUUAAAGGAACACUACAGCGUCAGGAACACAAACAUGUAUUCCUGACCUUAUAGUGUUAAAAACACCAUCUAGCCCCUCCUGCCCCCUCUCCUUGCAUCCCUAAAUAUAGAAAAAUCUUACAUGUAUUCAAGUCUGCAGCUGCUGCCUCUGCCCCUGAUCUGCCUGCUUGGGUGACAUCAUCAGAAGUGAUUCUGUGAGCCACAAUGCUUUCCCAUAUGAUUGUCUGGACUGUCAGAGCCAGCACAAGCCAGACACAGCCCUGGCCAAUCAGCAUCUUCUCAUAGAGCUGAAUUGAAUAAAUGCAUCCCUAUGAGGAACGUUCAGUGUCUCCAUACAGAUAGUGGAGACACCAUAUGACAGUGCUGCACAGAAGCAGUGGAAUAGAAAUAUAUGACUGUAAAGAGGAGAGAUGCUUAAGAGAGGUGGGUAGAAACAGAAUGUGUUUGGUAGAGAAAGGAAGAAAACUUGGAAAUGAAUACUUAUGGCAAGACACAGGCAAAAGAGAAAUGGAGAAUGUGGAAUAAUUAGAUUUGUACAAAAAAGUGGAAAGACUGAGGGGGACAGUGCUAGCGUAAGUGUGAGGCAGCCAUGAUGGCCUUUUUAGUGUGUCCAAGGUGGGAGUGCAAAAACUUCUCCAUGCUUUCUCUGCCCAAAUAUGGCAUCGUUAUGGUACCAGAGAACUGUAGACACACUGUGUGCUGGCUGCAGAGUUCACUUGUGCGCCUUGUAGAGCUAGGGUGUAACAUCACUUUGGCUUCAUCAUAACUACUAGGGAAUUGUUCAAGCAGAGUAUUGUGAUUCCAACAGUCUCCACUAACCAUCAGGGAGAGGAUCCACUUCAGCUCUCAUAGUUUUGGGAGAGAGAAGAGGUGGUCCUCUUAGAAAGACAAAUAAAUAAUACUAAUUGAAUGUGAAUGUGUGUAUGUAUGCGUGUGUGUAAGAGUUAAUAAUGUGCAUUGAAAUAAUUUUAAUUUUGGUUCGGUCAUUCUGAAAAUUAUUUCUCACAUUUAUUUAAAUAGUCCAAAACUGGAUAAAAAUGUUUAACACAUUUCUGACGAGCCAUUAAUCUCUGUGGAAAUUAAUGAAGCAAAAAGGUAAGAACAAUUCCUAAUGUGGGAUUAUUAAUACACUCAGAACACCAGCAGGUGUUGAAUGAAUGAAUGGCGCUGAAUAUAAUUCGUUCCAGGUCCAUUACUUUGUUAGAAACAAUAGAAAAAUGGAUCAGCGCUAAGUUCUUCUAUCUCCACUUGGAAAAGUCACUUUGGUGAAAUGCGUUAUGCAAAUUUUAUAUUGUUUAUUUUAUAUCAAUAAAGGUAUUUUGGCUACUUCCUAUCGUGUGUGCCAUUUUACUUUUUUAUUUGUUACUAUUUUAUAUUUUUACAUUCUACCCGGCAUCCGAUUUCACUGAUCCAAUGAGGACUACUCCUAAAGAAUCCUAAAUUGGGAUUAUACCACUUACGCCUACACAUGGAGCAGUCUCCCUGCUCAAUUAAAUGUAAGUAGCCAUUCAUUAUUUUAUACUCCUGGUACCUUUUAUGCUGUGAGCACUAUUGUUGUCUCUUUUAUACUUUUUAUGGUCUUUAUACAGACGAAACACCUGUCUAUCAACCUCUCGUCAUGUAUCUUUUAAGUAGGGAUUGUACCACAGUACGCUAUUCAUACUAGAGCUGGGUGUAAGCUCUAACAAAUGUGAGUAGGACCAUAAAGACUUAUUUUAUUGUUAUUACUUUUCUCUGGGAUAUGCUGCACCCUUAGUUUUUUCACUCUGUUUUUAUAUACGGCUCCAUAGGAUACAAUGAUCUAGCUCUUUUAUAGAAUAAUUUCCCUGACAUAACUCAGGCUAUAUCUUCUAGCAAGUUGUUUAUUGGGACUUUAUAUUGGACAUUUUACUGUUAUUAUUCUGCUUUGGUCUCUCUUAAUAUAUUGUUUCUGAUUCAUACAUUUUUUUUUUUACUAUUUUUACUAUAACCUCCAUUCCCCAUUACUUUAUUUAGUUGUUCUUAAUGUUUUGAUCAUUAUAAGUUUUUAGAUAAACUGAACAAAAAAAAAAAAUUCAUUAAUUUUUUUAUUUGUACGAAAACAAAUGCACAGGUCUACUAAGAAUAUGUGCUUGAUUAUAUGUUUGUAAGAUUAUGUAUCAGUAGCUUAUGUAAGAAUGUUUAUAUAUAAUCACAUUACUGAAUAUCUCAGGUUUUGUUUUUUGUUUGUUUGUUUUUUUGAAGAGUAGGGAUCACUUAUCAAAUUCAGCCUCUACAUCUGCAGCAAAAGUAAAUCCAGCCCUGUUUGUGAGCUCUGCAGAUGUGCGAGUCACAAUUGUGCAGCUCUCACACAGACAUCAUUUGUGCUAGAUAACAACCUCAUGAUAUUUGUGUGAGAGAAACACAAUUGUAUGCAUGAAGCAUAUAAGGAUCUUGAGAUGUGUAAAGAGUGUGACAAGUGGGUGAGGGGUAAGUGGCAAAAUGUAUCUUUGUCUGUGUAGCCAAAAUGCCUUGUCCUGCCCUGGAUGUUUUGCAACUCACCUGCUUAAAUAAUAAAUAAAGUAUUACACAGGAAUACACACAUAUAUGUGCAAUGUAGAAAAAACACACUGAUAGGCAUUAUGUUACACACGAACAUAUACAUAUAACACACAUACAGAUGAUUUAUAAAUAUAUAUUUGCAUUUAUACAAACUAUCACACAUGCACACAAAUUGUAUGCAUAAUAAAAUGUUCUAUGGUUUUAGUGGUAGUCUUCACGGGUGCAUUAACAUGGAGGUGUUCUUGCGGGAUUGAGAGGGAAGUUGAGGGACAAAUGUUUAAAGUAGACUGAUGUUUGCUAUAACUGCCUGGGUCUAUAUUUAUUUAUAGUCUAGUGCUAAGGAGCAGGGAGGUGGAGAAUGAUUUGUGGAGAGGAAAUUGCAUGGAAGGAAAAUGACAAAUGGAAGAGUUUGAGUAAAUUGGAAUGGGAAAAUGUCAUGGUAAGGGCAAAGUUGAGGGGAAAAGUGAAGUGAAAAAAUUAAAUGUUAAGGAUAAGGACAUGUUAAGUAGGCAUGGAAAGUGACAAUGAGAGAGACAGUGACAUCAGGAAGAGAAAAUUAAAAGAAAUGAACAGCUCUACAUUCACACAUACACAGAAACUCCACAUAUACACCCCAUAUUUACACCCAUUGAAAAACACUCCACAUACACAUACUGCAUUCACACAUAUAUACCAAUCAUCCAUACAUACACUGAUAUUCCUUGCAAAUAUACUAGUAGAUUAACACACAAUGACCCUCCAUACAAAUACCCUCUACAUUCAUACGCACAGUUACCCUCUACACAAAUACAACCUACAUUCAUAUACACAAAUACACCUUAAAUACAUAUACACAAAAACACCACACAUUCAUACACAAGGUAACUACUCCCAAAUACUAUAUACAUUCACAUACAAAGUUUAAUUUCACAUAAAUGCACCCUUAUAUUCACACACAGUGACACACGACAAACAUACAACCAUGCAAUUAAACAGUGACACUCCACAAACAUACACCCACACAUUUACACAUCCAGUGACACUUCACACAACUAUUUCACUAAAUGUAUGGUGCAGUUAUAUUUAUUAAGUGGUCUUGCAUAGCAAGACCACUUAAUGUUAUCUCACAUAUUUAUUAUUAUUACAAUUAUUAAGUGUUCUUGCAUAGCAAGACCACUUAAUGUUAUCUCACAUAUAUAUUAUUAUUCUUUUUAUAGCCAAAUUUACCACCCUAACUCCUCCCACAGUUUUUACACUACAUAGACAGUAAUAUACUGAAACGUACGGAUUGUUCCCAAUUGGUGUGCUAUUACUUUGUGGAACGUUUCGCCGAAUCGUUCUUCUUGCAAAAUUGGUCCCAUAGGAAUGAAUGGCAAAAUGUUCCAAACAAGAGUGGGAGCUGGCAAAAGCUGAAAAUCAGGACCUGUGCCAGGCUGGAGCAGCAAGUGAUGUCAUAGACAGGACCUUUUAUACACCUGCUAAUGUUUUUAUAAAUGUAUGUUUUAAUGUAACUGUGAAGCACUUUGGGCAACAACGUUGCAAUUAAACGUGCUAUAUAAAUAAAUAUUAACAGUUACUCCGCCCACUCCAGUUGUAGACUACUGGGGGAGGCAAGACCACUUUACACAAUUUCCCCAGAAAUUGUAGCUUUUCUAGUUUCUGUUAACCUUUAUUAUACAUUCAUACACAAAACAUCACAUCACAGAACCUCACAAUAUACAUACAAUAACUGGCAUUGCUGGUGAGUGUUUUUUUUUUGGUUUUUUUAAAUAUGUUCCAGUUAUAUACUCUUCCAUCAUGAGACUGGGCUAUGGAUCCAACCCUGAGUACAGUUCAUUUUAUGCAGUCAAACAAUCCGCAUGUCCAUAUUCUGCUGCAGGAAAAUGUACUUACUGGAAUUACAGUUUUCAGAUAUGGUCAAACAACCUGCAUCUCCACAUUCCACUAUGUUGUUUUCAUUUUCACAGGUAUAUCCAUUUCGGGUAAGGCAAUCAACACAUCUGGAACCAUAACCUAAAGAAAUAACACUUUAGGUUGCCAUAUUUAAGUAGCAUGGUCACAAUUAUUCACUUUGAGUUUAGACUUUGUAAAUAUUAUUUAAAAUAGAAAGGGAAUAUGUUUGAGGAACUAGGACAAGUAGGUAAUAGAAUAUGUGGAAAAACAAUAACGAAGGCAAGCCUCACAACAAAUCGAGCAACUCAAAAUAGAACAGUAUAAAAAAUAUAAAAUGUAGAAGCACUUUAAAAAAAAUGUUUUUACUUUUUUUAUAUAAACAUCUAAGCAGGAACAAGAAAAAUAGUGUAUGAAAUGCAACGCUAUUUUAAGAAAGAAAUCUCCCGUCCUUAUCACAGGUGCAAACCACAGUUUGGUCAGCCUUCAAUAUAUUGAACAUAAUAUAUUAUAUGUUAUAUAUGUAAUGUAUUAAUCUAUAUAUGAAAUUGAAGUCUGACCAAUUUUCAGGUUUUACACAGCUGUGAUCGGUGCCUAAAUAUCUUUAUUAUAGACUGUAACUAAAUAUCCAAUAUUUGACCUUAUUCAAGUAUUUUUAAAUAAUAUUUAUAUAAAUACACACACAUUUGUUACCAAACUUGUCUAAUAAAAACAAACAUAUAAUGUAGAUAUUGCAUAUCCUUAAUCAGGUUAUAAGUCAAAUAUUCACAGAACUAGUUACUAACUAGAAUUAUUCAUUAAAAUGAGAAUUGCUGGGAAUGCAAAGUUAAAUUAUAAUUUAAAAUCCAAAAUAUUCAAACUGGAAGUGAAGCUAACUUAAAUUUUUUCCAGUUUGGUUAUUUUGGCCUUCAAGUUUAAACGUUUGAAUUUUUAAUCAAUUCCCACUUUAUUGAAUAACCCUGAUAAACUUGAAAUAAAAUUAGAAAAUGAGGCAAAAGGUAAUGCAAUACAUGUUAAUCCCUUAGUGACCAGACCGUUUUUCAAUUUUCUUACCAGGACCAGUGCUGUUUUUACAUUUCUGCAGUGUUUGUGUUUAGCUGUAAUUCUCCUCUUACUCAUUUCCUGUACCCACAGAUAUAUUAUAUACAGUUUUUCUCGCCAUUAAAUGGUUUUUCUAAAGAUACCAUUAUUUUCAUCAUAGCAUAUAAUUUACCAUAAAAAAAUUAUAAAAUAUGAGGAAACAUUUUUAAAAACACAUUUUUUCUAACUUUGACCCCCAAAAUCUGUUACACAUCUACAACCGCCAAAAACCACCCAUGCUAAAUGCUAAAUAGUUUCUAAAUUUUGAAAUUUAGAAAUACCCAAUAUCAACAUGUUCUUAGUUUUGUUUUGUUUUUUUGAAAACUAACUCUGGACAGUGUUUGUGACUAAAUGGCUACUAAAAAAGACUGAACAUACCCAAUUUGCAAUACCUUGGGUUGUCUUUUUUGCCAUCAUGGGUGUAAUUCUCACUCCUGGGCUGCCAUUCGCUCUCAAGGACAACAUAACCAAUCUUGGAAAUUUCAAUGUGAAAAAAAAACGGAAAAUCAAGUCGUAUAUUCGAUCCUGUAACGUUCAAAAACACUAUAAAAGCUGUACAUGGAGGGUGGGGGAGGGGCUCCUGUUAUACUUGGGAGACUUCACUGUGCACAAAUAUUAGUUUUUCAAAACAGUAAAACAUAACAAAACAAUGAUAUCAUCAGUGAAAGUGCUGUUUGUAUGUGAAAAUGCAAGAAAUGUCACUUUUACUGACAAUAUAAUUGCUAUGAUAUGUAUUACUGUUUUGAAACACUAAUAUUUGUGUUCAGCAAAGUUUCCCGAGUAAAACAAUACCCCCAUUGUACAGAUUUUAGGGUGUCUUGGAAAGUUACAGGGUUAAAUAUAGUCCUAGCAAAUUAAAUUCUCUGGACUUUUGGUCUGGGUUGUCAGGCAGGUCCCCCAAAAUGCAAUCAAUAAAAUUACUUAAUUAUGUAAAAAUAUUACAUAAUAUUUUAUUACAUAAAUAUGCAUGUAUAAUUUAAAUACAUAUGCAUAUUUAUAUAUUUGAAGUCUACGUGUAUAUUUAUUUUUUCGUAUUAUUUUUAUUUAUUUAUAUAUAUAUAUAUAUAUAUAUAUAUAUAUAUAUAUAUAUAUAUAUAUAUAUAUAUAUACAGUUGCAAGAAAAUGUAUGUGAACCCUUUGGAAUGAUAUGGAUUUCUGCACAAAUUGGGGCUGCUUUGCUGCGUCAGGGCCUGGACGGAUUGCUAUCUUCAAAGGAAAAAUGAAUUCCCAAGUUUAUCAAGACAUUUUGCAGGAGAACUUAAGGCCAUCUGUCUACCAGCUGAAGCUCAACAGAAGAUGGGUGUUUUCAAAUCCAGGAGUGCACCUUAUUAUUGUUUUCCAUACAUAUAAAAGAGAUGAAAACCUUGCCCACCUACUUACAAAAUAUGGAACCCGGUGCUAGAUUGCACUAGAUAUACAAGACAAGAUAAAAUCAGCACUCACGGGAUUUCUAAAUAAAGCUUCUUUUUUUGAACCUGAGGAAAGUCCACGAGGGGGACUGAAACAUCGAUCCUAUUUUUAAUAUGAAUUUAAUAAAGAAUUGAAGAUUUUAUCUACAGACCAUGAAUGCAGCUAAAUUUGUUGCUGUGUAUAUAUAUAUAUAUAUAUAUUUAUUUAUUUAUUUUAAUUUACUAACAUUUUUUUUUUUCACCAGCAGGGCUCCGUUCAGGUAGUCCCCGUACAGGCAGCACUAUAGAUGCCUAUUGCGGCCAUGUGACCGCUCAUGGCAUUUGGGAUCUUAAUUUGCUGAGGGGGGACUGACUGGGCUGUCAGACAGUCCUCCAAGACAAAGAGUAACACCGAUCGCCAGCGGAGAAACGGCGGCAAUUUGGUAAGUAAGUAGGAAUUCUGUGCAUGUACUUGAUACGUCUGAGGACCUUAAGGAACGUUUUUUGUUGGAUGUACACAGGAAGGGGUUAAACUGUCACAAUGUAACAUAGCUGUCUUGAAUCUGUUGUAAUAUGAAUAGAAAAUCUCACCUGUGGGUAGCAGAGAUGAUAAUAUACAGAGCAGUAUGAUAAAAGAUGUCAUGAUGUCUGCCUCUCAGAACUUGUUCUUUCUGCGUUCAAUUUAUUUUCAAUACCUGGAAAAUAUCACUCAAGACAGUUAUAUUUAUACUUCUAUACUGAAGAUGAAGUCAUCCUAAACAUAUUUAUUUCCUAUUGCAUCUUCUCACAUAGUCAACAGAAGACAAGGAAGUAGUAGAAAAAAGGCAAGAAGCCAAUGUUCAGCAAAGGUGGCAUCUUAAUUGUUUUCAAGAAAAAAAGAGGACCCAAAAGAAGCAGUACCUUAACCCCGUAAGGACACAUGACAUGUGUGACAUGUCAUGACUCCCUUUUAUUUCAGAAGUUUGUCCUUAAGGGGUUAAAAUGUCAUUCCACUGCCCAAAUAACAUAAAUAAAUAAAUAUAUAAAAAUUGCUCACAAAAUCACGACAAUCCAAUAACCAGACGUUUGUUCCCAAAUUCACCUCAAUGCACCCACACGAUAUGCACAAACAGCAAACCAAAUGUUUUUUCUAAAAAACGCAAUUAUUAAUAAGGUAUAUGGUACAAAACAAGCAAUAAAAUAUUGAACGUGUAAUAGCACAAUGUGAAAGCAUGCACUGUGACUUAAAAUUUACCCCAUGGGUUGUAGUUUUAAAUUAAUUUGUGCCAAAACUAAAUAAGAAAAAAACUUAGCUUAAUAAUUGUGUUCAAUAGCUUGGGAUUCCUUGCAAUAUCAUACAACAAAAGAAAAAAUAUAUAGUGUAAAGCCUUUUGCUAAACACACUACAAUAAAAACUAAAAACGGUUUACAACUAGGCAUAUGCAUGGGGAAAAUUUUCAGUUCGGUUUGGCAUUCCAAAAUUUGGGACUUCGGCAACUUCGGAACUUCACCACUUCGGAACUUCGGCAACUUCGGCACUUCGGAACUUCAGAAUUUCUGAACUUCGGCAUUUCGUAAUUUUGAGACUUCGGCACUUCGGGACUUCUCUUGCAGCCGCUUAGUAGAUAACUCCCUAAUUCCCACGGUAUUAGGGAGUUAUCUACCAAAAGGCUGAAAGACCUAAAUUGGUCUUUCUGCCAAAUCUACUAAUACUAAGUAAAAAUUACUUAGUAUUAGUACAUGUUACACCUCCUCAAUAUACCGAGAGUAGGGGCAUGUCUAUUAAACUGUUAAAAAAAGGGCCCCCACAGCUCCCACCCCUGACUCAGGGGUGGGGGCCAGGGGGAGGACAUUAGGUCCCCCCCUUAUUCCCCACAUUAGGUCCCCCCCUUAUUCCAAUUUAGGGCCCCCACCCGCCACUCAGGGGUGGGGGCAGGGGGGAGGACAUUAGGUCCCCCCUUAUUAGUAUUUAGGGCCCCCACCCACCGCACAGGGGUGGGGGCCAGGGGGGAGGACAUUCGGUCCCCCCCUUAUUAGUAUUUAGGGCCCCCAACCCACCGCUCAGAGGUGGGGGCUAGGGGGAGGAUUUUAGUAGGAUGUAAAAUAUGCACGGUCUCUAAGUGACAAAGUUAAAUCAAAACUAAUGUAAAUUAAAUAUUCUUUAUGACCACAAGAGAGUUUAAAACUACAUACUAAUAACCAUAUUGCAUGAUGUUCGUGUAAUUAUAAUUAGGGAACCAUAGCUGUAGGCUAAAUAGUGUUUGUGUGUAUUGUGCGAAUGGUCUAUCUAGCCAUAGAGCAUUCGUACUUUCCCCAUACUGACCUAACCAAACACUCCACCAAACCGUAGUAUACAUGCAAAAACAUAUGUGAGUCGUUCGUGAGAAUUGAGCCAAAAAAAGACAGUCAUAAUAUACAAGCAAGAUCCCGAAAGCCCCUGAAAAAUUAAAAUGACAAGCAUUUGUGAGUUGCAAAUGAAUUGAAAUACACAAAUUACCAUACGAAAAUAGAGCAUGCGAAUAGACUGAAUAUAGAGAGUAGACCCAAACGGUAAUGACGCCGUGGGACUGCGACCAAGGCAACGGCUGGGACUGUUUUCAGAGUGUGCUUCUGAGUCAGUCUCUGGUGAAAUUAAGGAGGAAGCAAACUUGAUGGGAGGAUUGAGGUUGAGUAAGAGAAGCACUGUAUCCAGAGGAAAGCAAGCAAGCCCAAGUAGCAAGACAACUUGGAGACAAGGUAAAUUCGCAAAUGGCAACCUAAAGUAACCACAUGCAAACCAGACCAUAUAUAGUAAUUGUUUUUACAAGGUCAUUAUUGCUUUGUAUUAUUACAUUUUAUUUAUUUUCUUGCUAUAGGUACUAAACAAUGAAAAAUACUAUAUGUGUAUUGCAUACUCUCUUGCUAUGUGAGUACCAAUGAAUAUGUACCAUUACUCAAAAUAUGCUUUACGAGGACUUAUAGGUACUCAGACCACAUCAGCUCAUUGAAGUGGUGCAAUGUCUAUGUCCCACUUAGUCCUGCAAUAUAAACAUUGCAGUGCUAAGACAGACAUUUUGUGGCUUUUACAAACCAGUGGUCUAUUUUAAAUAUUAAACCCAUAAUGAAAACAUCUUGUGAGCACGCCGGUACAUAUUAACCUAACUUUCAUUGCUUAAACUUGAAAUUUCCGAUGAACAGGGGGCGGAUAGGUUGAUAGUUAACCUUUGUUUCAUGAACUUCUUUCCUGUGACAAAUCCGAUAGGGUUUGACCUCCAUGAAGUGAAAGGUGGGGAUUGAAAAGAGAGCAGUGUUCAAAUUGAGAUUCUUAGUUGCGGUGAUGGAAGUUAAACUGGGCCUUACAACUGCAGUGUUCAAAUGAAGAUUCUUAGUUGCAGGGAUAAAUGUUAAAUUGGGCCUUAAAAUCCAUGAUUGGAAAGUACCUUAAAUAGCCUGCUGGGGUCACAGUUGUGUUAUGUUGGAAUUCAUAGAACGGGACAACUGAAUCAUUAUCAACAUGAAUUGAAUUUGCAGUGAUAGCACUUUAUUGAUUAGAAAUUAUAUUUCAAUGAUCUAGAUAUUACAGCAAGACAAGCACAAACUCAUGAGUAUUUUUGCAAGUGUAUUUUGUUUUUAAGUAUUAGAUGUUAUAUUUACAUAUAUUGAUAUAUAGGUCAAUUGUGAUGUGCGUUUGGGAUACUCGCUAUUUCAAAAACUUACUUUGCUAUUUUUAUUGUGCAUUUGGUAUCAGGUCGUAUCUGAUUUACUUUUACUAUUUGUUAAAUAUAUGUUGUCAUUCAUCCAAUUUUAUAGCAGAAUAAAUACAGAACUAGACUUAAAAAAAUGAAGAAUUAACUAAUUGAAUUUAUGUUCCAUUUGUUCCCAAAAGCUUAAUGUAAAUACUCGGUAUGAUGAUAAAGAAUUGGUGUUAAUGCACAGUACAUAAAAGGUAAGCAUGACAACCUGAAUUCUCUCAUCACUUAAAGGACCCCUCUAGGCACCCACACCACUUCAGCUUAAUGAAGUGGUCUGGGUGCCAGGUCCAGUUAGGGUUAACCCAUUUUUUUAUAAACAUAGCAGUUUCAGAGAAACUGCUAUGUUUAUGAAUGGGUUAAGCCUUCCCCCAAAGCCUCUAGCAGCUGUCUCAUUGACAGCCACUAGAGGCGCUUGCGUGCUUCUCACUGUGAUUUUCACAGUGAGAGCACGCCAGCGUCCAUAGGAAAGCAUUGUAAAUGCUUUCCUAGGACCGCUGAAUGCUGCAGCUCUUGCCGCUGCUGCGGCGCAUUCAGCCCAGGAGGAGGAACGGAGGAGGAGAGAAGGAGGAGAGCUCUCCGCCCAGCGCUGGAAAAAGGUAAGUUUUUACCCCUUUCCCCCUUCCAGAGCCGGGUGGGAGGGGGACCCUGAGGGUGGAGGCACCCUCAGGGCACUAUAGUGCCAGGAAAACAAGUAUGUUUUCCUGGCACUAUAGUGGUCCUUUAAGACGUGUUUUAUGAUGUUAAUAGCAGUUUUUUACUCUGUGAAUUGUAUUCAAUUCGUGCUUUUGUUUCAUAUUUGAGAAUGUUAUACAGAUCUGGAUCUACAUUUUUGGCAACUACUUGGCAAGCAUGAAAAUCAUUAAAAAUGUAUUUUUAUUCACAUCCACUGCAGUGUAAAGGUACACUACUAUGAAAGAAUUUUUCUUCACGCUCUUUAGUUCCUGGCAUGGAUUUAAACUUCAGUUUGCAUAUCAGAUCGGAAAUACAGCCGUUUACACUGUAAUUUCCAAUAGUGCCAUCUGCAAAACAGAGAAUAUAGUAUGAAUCAGGGAACCCCUUUCAUGUAGUGAAAUAAUAUAUUAUUAAAAUUCUGGGCAUAAAAAAAGAUUCUGCAUAGCAAUACUAACUCUAGAUGGAAGGAGUAUGAAAUUAGGGAAUUUACAAAUGUCAACACUAAGAAUGUCUAUUGGUAUGUAGUUGUGGCCUCCAAUAUGUAUGACAGACAUCUAGAAAGCUAUACUUGAAGAUUAGUGAACAUAAUAGAAAUAUAACAAAUGUUCUAAGGGUACCCCUUUGGUAUAUAGUGAAAUAAUAUAUUUUUUAAAUUCUGGGGAAUAGAAAAUAUUCUACAUAUCAAUGUUGCAGUUUCACAAAGUAAAACUGUAGUGAAUUUUAGUAUUGUGUCAUACUUUAUAUUUGUGUAGGGAGUGUUAGGCAUGCAGAGAUGGAGGGGAGUCAGGAGAGUGGUAGUAUGAUGGGCAUAUAAAGGGGACAUGUAUUAUCAAUGGAGUAUGAUGAGGUAGCAACCACAGGUUUCUGAAUAGCAGGGUAGUGGGGCAGCCUUGGCCUAGUCAGGAUGGGAAGUACAAGUGCUAAAGGAUCUAAACAGAGAAAAGGGUUUGGUCCCAAAUCAAAAAAGGUACAGCAAGAGGUCGUGGGUCCUUAUCGAGUGAGGACCAUGCAGAGAGGGGACAGGCAGGCUGGUUAAGAGAAGACAGAGGAGGUCUGCAGGAGGAGGUACAUUAUGCUAGCAUUGUCCUUGUUGAGCAUCACACAAUACGGAACAUCAAACACCAGCUUUGUGGCUGCUGAAGGGAAGCAAAGAAAAACAUAAGCCUUGAGACAAACUAUGCAAGAGGAACAUGAAACUAAGUAAAGUGCAAUAUUAUAACAGCAAUAUCAUAUUUAAGGAUUUGAUUUUUAAAUUAAUACUUUUUUGUCCCUCAGUAUUGCCUUGUUUUAUAUAUAUAUAUAUAUAUAUAUAUAUAUAUUUUUUUUUUUAUUAUUCACCUUAUUUUUUUAGUAAUACAUAAGAAAAAGUAAAUGUUAGUUUUCUUCUUUGUAAAUUCUGCCAGCCAUCAUAACAAAAAUCCCACACAAUCAUGUACAGUGUUGUGUGGAUUAUGUAGUGUUUGUUUAGUUGGAUAGGCUGUGAGUGUUGUGUGGGAUAUAAAUGCAGAAUCAUUCACUUUAUUAACCCCUUAAGGACGGAGCCAAAUGUACACGUUGUGAACGAAACAAAAUGUAAACAAAACCUGGCAUUUGCGCUACAUGUCUGUCCAACCGUAAUACACCUCUUUCAUAGUAAAUGCACCCACCCUUAUUAUAUAUCAUUUUAUUCAGGGGAAACAGGGCUUUCAUUUAAUAUCAAAUAUUUAGCUAUGAAACAUAAUUUAAUAUGAAAAAAAUGGGAGAAAAUAAGAUUUUUUUAGUUCUACAUGACAUUUUAACUGUCAAUGUCAUAAUACUGUUUGCUUUUACUGCAAUAAAAUACACAUAUUUGUAUUCAGUAAAGUCUCACGUGUAAGACAGUACCCCCUAUGUACAGGUUUUAUGGCGUUUUGGGAAGUUACAGGGUCAAAUAUAGCACAUUACAUUUGAAAUUGAAAUUCGCCAGAUUGGUUACGUUGCCUUUGAGACUGUAUAGUAGCCCGGGAAUGAAAUUUACACCCAUAAUGGCAUACCAUUUGCAAUAGUAGACAACUCAAGGUAUUGCAAAUGGGGUAUGUCCAGUCUUUUUAGUAGCCAUUUGGUCACAAACACUGGCCAAAGUUAGCGUUAGUAUCUGUUUGUGUGAAAAAUGCAAAAAAACGCCAAUUUUGGCCAGUGUUUGUGACUAAGUGGCUACUAAAAAAGACUGGACAUACCCUGCUUGCAAUACCUUGGGUUGUCUACUAUUGCAAAUGGUAUGCCAUCAUAGGGGUAAUUUUCAUUCUUGGGCUACCAUAGGGUCUCAAAGGCAACGUAACCAAUCUGGCGAAUUUUAAUGUGAAAAAAAUGAAACACAAGCCUUAUAUUUGACGCUGUAACUUUUGAAAACACCAUAAAACCUGUACAUGAGGGGUACUGUUGUACUCGGGAGACUUUGCUGAACACAAAUAUUUGUGUUUCAAAACAGUAAAAAGUAUUGCAGCAAUAAUAUCAUCCGUGUAAGUGCUGUUUGUGCGUGAAAAAUGCAAAAAACUUCACUUUUACUGGCGAUAUCAUUGUUGUAAUACAUUUUACUGUUUUUAAACACUAAUAUUUGUGUUCAGCGAAGUCUCCCGAGUAAAACAGUACCCCCAAUUUACAGGUUUUAUGGUGUCUUGGAAAGUUAUAGGGUUAAAUAUAGUGCUAGCAAAUUAAAUUCCCUAUACUUUCGGCAUGGGUUGUCAGGCAGGUCCCGCUAAUUGUAAUUAAUUAGGAUACCUAAUUAUGUAAAAAUAUUACAUAAAUAUAUGUGUAGAAUUAAUAUAUGUAUAUAUAUACAUAUGUGUAUAUAUACAUAUAUAUAUAUAUAUUUUUUUAAAAUAUUUUUAUUUAUAUAUAGGUGUAUAUAUUUAGUGAUAUAUAUGUAUAUAUUUAUGUAUAUAGAUAUAUAUAUUAUUUCGUUCUACAUGUAUUUUGAUAUAAAUAUAUAUAUAUUAAUAUCACAAUACAGUUAGAACGAAAUAACAAACAUCUAUAUAUUUUUUUAUUAUUUAUUUUUAAUUAUUUUUUUAAUUUUAUUUUUUUACGUAUUUACAUUUUUUAUAUUAUAUAUAAAUAUAUAUAUAUAACAAUAAUUAUAUAUAUAUAUAUAUAUAUAUAUUUAAUCAGUAUUAGUCUACGUGUAAUUUAAUAGUAAUAUAUAUAUAAAUAAUUAUAUAUAUUAAUAUUUAAAUACUCUUCGUGUAUGUGUAAAUGUGUGUGUGUGUGUGUGUGUAUAUAUAUAUAUAUAUAUAUAUAUAUAUACUUAGAUCAUAUAUAUAUAUAAUAUAUAUGAUCUAAGUAUAUUUUAUAUUUAACUGUAAUUUUUUUUUUUUUUUACUAAUAUUUUAUUUUUUUUACAGGAGAGGGGGCAGAGACAGUGUCAGCCAGUGAUUUCACAUCACUGGCUGACACACAGGAUCAGUGAUCACAGUGACUGCCUGUCACUGUGAUCACCUCCUGCAGAUUGGGUAAUUGGCCACAGGGGGGAGUGCCUGGGUGGUACAAGCACUCCCCCCUUCCAAUCUGCAGGGGGAUCUUUGUGCCAGUUACAUGUGUCAGCCAAUAGGCUGACACAUGUAACACUGAUCGCAGUGACAGGCUGUCACUGCGAUCAGAGCGCUCUGAGAUCGCAGUGACAGCCUGUCACUGCGAUCUCAGAGUUAGCAGAUCGCGGUCACUGACCCCAGGGGGACUGCCUGGGGGCCAGGUAAGUCCCCCGACCGCGAUCUGCACGGGGUAGCCGCUGGCCACGUGUGUCAGCCGAUUUGAAAUCGGCUGACACACGUUAAAAAACUGAUCGCAGUGACAGCCUGUCACUGCGAUCAGUGACUGCAGAUCGCGGUCACCGGCCACAGGGGGGGUUGCCUGGGGGGCCGGGCAUCCCCCCCGACCGCGAUCUGCAGCGGGCGAAUAGCGCCGGCCACGUUGGCGGCCAUUAAAGUGAGGGCGUACUAUUACGCCCGCCGGCAUUUAGAGCCGGCUCCUGCAGGGCGUAAUAGUACGCCCUCCGGAUUUAAGGGGUUAAAUGAUUUCCCUAUCCACAUUUGUUUGCAGGGCACUUGUCCUUCUCUCACCCCCAUUUUACUUCCUUUUGCAGCCCUCUAGCCCUUACUAGGACUUUUUUAGAGCCAUUUUAGUGCCCAAAAGUUCAGGUCUCCAUAGGGUUCGGGUUCGGGGUCAAGUUCGAGUCCCGAACUCAAACUUUUUGCCGAAGUUUGGCCAAACCUGCGAACCCGAACAUCCAUGUGUCCGCUCAACUCUAGUCAGGAUCUGUCAAUAAUUAAGACAGUUUUUUUACGAUCUAUAACUGGAAGAGUGCUUUGGAGUGAUUUAGUUUAAACAUUUUCCCGGUAAUGGGGCAAACUGUUUUGCCUUCUCACUUGGGUUCCUGCCAUGCACAGAUUCUCUUCUUUGGCCAGCAAUGUGUAUCCAGCUUCUGCAGAGAUGCCGAAGAUGGACACAGAGAUCAGUGGCCACUCACUGGGCAAGCGGAUCAACCAUGGAAUGAAACUGACAUUAGCUGUGGAGAAACCAACCUCGUCUCGAAGCAUUGGAGAAGUCUGGUUGAACGCCUGUUGCCCUUGGACUAUGGCCCCAUGUUAAAAAGCCUUCUUUUCCCCUGCAGAAAAGGCUUGUUCGUGCCUUUAUGCCCAGCGUUCAGUAGAUUCAAUCUAUGGAACAAACAACCGAAUGACUGGACCACCUGUAUUGGGAGUGUGUCAGCAAUUUACCACCCAGAAGCAGCGGUUAACCGCAGCUUAAUUGACGAAUGCUGACUGGCCUUUGUUCAUUUGCCGAACACGUGGUGGUGAAUGGCCAGCGGUGUUCAGCGCCCAAACUAUGGAGCUGGAAACGGACACUUAUUUGCGUGAACACCGCUGAGCCGUCAGCCUCCUUGCGUCUGCAUUCUGUCAUUUAACCGGAUGCCUGUUCAUUCUGUAGUUUAACCAUAUGAACAGCAUUACCCCAGAUAGCCAUGCCAUGGAGCCUAUUCGUGUAACGAAAGACUAUUGGAAAGACUUUGGCUCCAUGGCGAUUGAACUGUAUGUAUGUGAUCUGAGUAAUAAUGUGCACUCAGAUCUAAGCUAUCUUGGGAUAGGUAGAAUGUAUAUGUUUUGUGCAACAGUUGUAACUUUAUACAUUUUUAUGUCUUUUACUGUCUUUUACUGCCAUUUGGUUAAAGGAGUUUUGCCUCUGUCCUGGGAGAUAAUUGGAUUACUUCCCAAUUAUCUCCAGGACAGAGGGAGGGAAAUUAGGAUGCAUUGUGGGGAUGUUUUACCUCUGUGUGUCUGUCAUUGGUUCAUGUCUGUCCUUUGUCACAGUCUCCCAUUUGGUCCCCUACGAGAGUGUCCGCCAGCUGGGAGACCUGCAUAAAUACUGGGCAGGUAGCCCUCAAUAAACCAGACCACUGCUUGACCCGCAACACGGAGCACAGUCUCGUCUUUGGGGGGAUUUACUGUAUGCUGUUAGAGACUGAUUGCCAGGAGUGUAAGCCGCUUGGGUGCUUUUCCUGUUCGUCUGCUAGCAGCUAUACGUGAAGCUGCCUUCAACAUGGAUGCUGUCCAGGAAGUAGGAGGGUCUGGGAGGGAGAGUCUGCUGGAGAUUGGCCGGGAUGUGUCAGCUGACUGGAGUUCGCCACGACCGUGGCGAACCGUUCGCGAGAAGUUCGCGGAUGGUUCGCGACAUCUCUAUUGACAAUCAGUUCUGAAAAUACAUUUGAUAUACAGACCAGCCAAACACAUAUGUUGAACAAAUCAUUGCAGCAAAUCAUUGAGACUUUCACCCAGUCUCCACACCUACAAAAAAUAUUUGAAAACACACUUCUUUAGGAAAGCAUAUAAUUUAAACUGUUAGCGGGUUUUCAUCCCCUCUCCCCCCCCCACAUGACUCCUCUCCUGCAACUGUCAAAAUAACCAAAGUUCUCAGUGAAUACUUUUCUAGCAACCUAAUUCAUUACCCCUACUUAUACCUUUUGUGUCACUAUACCCAGUGGUGUAUCCUGGUUUUGUGCUGCCCUAGGCAGGACAAAACUCAGGCACCCCCCUCCCCCCGCGCCACCCCCACCCAACCCUUCCCCCUGCCCCACCUUCUAAAUACACAUACACACACACAAACACAGUCAGACACAUACACACACACAGUCAGACACAUACACACACACACUCACACACACACAGUCAGACACAAACACACACACAGUCACACACACAUAGUCAGACACAAACACACACACACAGUCAUACACACACACAUACACAGACAGGCACAAACACACACACAUACACACACACAGUCAGGCACAAACACACACAAACACACACACAUCAGUCAGACACACACACACACAGACACACACACACACAUACACAGUCAGACACACACACACACACACACUCAGUCAGACACACACACACACUCACAAACACACGCACAGACACAAACACACACAGUCAGACACAAACACACACACAGACACAAACACACACACACACAGUCAUACACACACACACACACAGUCAGACACAUACACAGACACUGCCAGACACAAACACACACACAAACACACACACACACAUACACAAACACAGUCAGUCACACACAGUCAGACACACACAGAGAUUAACUUUUUUUUUAUUUAAAUCCCCCCCCAACCUCCUUACCUUUGGGAGUGCUGGGGGGGGGAGGUCUCUCUCACCCUGGUGGUCCAGUGGCUGCCGGUCGGGCGGGCGGCGCUGGCAGGCGGGCGGCUGGCGAGGGAGAACUUCCUAUGAACUCUAUGCUCAGCUCCCUCGCGCGCCGGCUGCAGAGUGAGGCUGGGAGCCGGGUUGAUGACGUCAUCUUCCGGCUCCCAGCCUCACUGUGCGGCGCGCGAGGGAGCUGAGCAGUCAGCUCAUAGGAAGUGCUCCCUCGCCAGCCGCCCGCCUGCCAGCGCCGACCGCCUGGGAUGUCAGUUAGCCGCGAGGCUAACUAGGCAUUUGCCCUGGGUAUUUGGGGGGCGGCGUUUUUUGCCGCCCCCUGAAAAAUGCCGCCCAAGGCAAAUGCCUUGUUUGCCUCGCGGCUAAUACGUCCCUGACUAUACCCCACUCCCUCUAGCAUGUAAGCUCAUUGAGGAGGGCCCUUAAUCCUGUGUGUCCAUUUGUAUGGUUACAAUUAUGUGUCUGCUAAUUCACCCAUUGUACAGUGCUAUGGAAUUUGCUGCGCUAUUAAAAUAAUAAAAUAAUAAUAAUAAUAAUAAUAAUAAUAAUAUGUAGAUACAUAGACACAUUGGUUGACAGUGGCCUAUCAGGCUGAUUUUCAGAGAUGUUGACAUAUGGUAGCUUGACUGGAACUCCAGGAGGGUACAGAGACGACGGUUGGGAGACUGUGUUGAUUUAGAUAGGGGUCCUAGGUCACCGGUAGGGAAGACAUCCCUGACAUCUAAGGGAUAUGGAUUUACAUAUUUACAUAACUUUAUAUGUAAUUGCUUUUUGUUUUUGUUUGUUUUUUUCCUUUAACUGUUGCCCUCAAAUCUGAGCUUUAUAUCACACGAUGACUAUUAGACAAGAGUUGUUAGUGACUUUGAAUUUCACCACUUAUUUAUUCCUGUUUAUUUAGACUCUCAGAAUAUUGUAUAGUAUCAUAAGAUUUGUCAGGUCUAUCAAACUGUUAUAAUUGACAUUUCAUGUCUUGGUUUGCCACGUUCAAAUAUUAUAAAGGACAUGUGUGUUCACAUUUAUGAUCAUGCACUUUACCAUGGCCCUGCAAAGCAUGAGUGUCCUAUCUCAGUACUUAUCUUUCGUCGAAAAUCAAUUAACAAUUCACUAUAUAUAUAUAUAUAUAUAUAUAUAUCAAUAAAUACACCAGAAAAUCCAACUAAAGUCUUACAAUAAUUGGCAAAUGUAGCAAUAGAGAUAAAAAAACAAAAACAAACACAGACCCCCAACGUAACCAGAUAUUGUUUACUGAAAUAUUGAGGGUCUGUCUCUGCUGAUUAUCAUUAUUCAUAUAGUUGCAGGUAUUGGAAUAUUUUGAUUUUUUUUUUCCUCAUGUAUUAAUUGCUGUUUGUAUUUGUACAAAUAAAGUGUUGUUUUUCUAAUGUAAGAUUUUAAUUUAUAGUUAUGGGAUAUGCUCUAUUUCAGCAACUUAUUUUGAGUUUGUUAUAGCAUAUUUGGAAUAAAGUCACAUCUGAUUUUCUUUCAUUAUUUGUUAAUAUGUUGUUAUCCACCUAACUCUAUAGCAGAAUAAAUACAGAACUAGACUUAAUAAAACAAAGGAUUAACUAGUUGCAUUUAAGUUCCCAUUUGUUCUUAGAGGCUUAAUGUGAAGAGCAAUUAUUAUGAUAGUGAAAUAAAUGCAAUGUUUCAUUGUGGACUAUUGGUGUUAGUGCACAGUACAUAAAGAGUAAGCAGGACAACCUGAAUUUAAGUGCAUUCUUUUAGAUUUGUUUUAUUAUGUUAAUAGCAAAAUUUUACUCUAUGAUUUCUAUUCAGUUCCUGCUCAUGUAUCAUCUUUGAGAAUGCUAUACAAAUGAGAAUCUACAUACAACUACUUAGCAAGCAGAAACGUUAUUAAAAUGUAAUUUUAUUCACAUCCACGGCAGUCUAUCGGUUCUGUGCAAGUUUCGCUACAUUCAAAUAACUUCUCUUCCAGCUGUUCGGUUCCUGGCAGGGAUCCAAACUUCGUGAUGCAUACUGCAUCGGAAAGACAGCCUUUGAUACUAUACUUUCCAAUGGUGCCAUCUGCAAAACAGAGUAUAAUAUGAAUCUGAUGUUACCAACAACAUAUGCUAAGGGUACCCUUUUCAUAUAUAAUGAAAUAAUAUAUUGAAAUUCAGGGGCAUUAAAAAUAAUUCUACAUCUCAAUGUUAAUAUUUUACAAAGAGUGAGCUGCAGCAGGUAUGUGUCAUAUUUUAUAUGUGUAAGAAGUAUUAGACAUGAAGGGAUGGAGAGGGGGUCUAGUGUGGAGAGGAGUCAGGAGAAGGGUAGUAUGAUUGGCAUAGAAAGGGACAAUGUUGUAUCAAGUGGAGUAGAAUUAGGUGGCAAUCCCUGAUUAGGUUUCAGAAUGUCAGGAUAGCGGGAAUAAAUUAAGUAAAGUGGAAUAUUAAACCGCAUUGUCACAUUUCAGGAUUAUUAUUUUUUAUAUAUAUAUAUAUAUAUAGAUACUUUUUGUCCCUCAGUAUUUUCAUAUUUCUUUUAAUCUUAGUUUUUUAGGAAUAAAGAAGAAAAAGUAGGGGCCACAAAAUGUUUUCUUCUGUAUUGGGCAGAGCCUAUGCAAAGCCCCAACCCAGCUGUUAAACUAAUCAUCAAUCAGAAGAAUCCCAUAUAAGGACAAACAGUAGACAUCUGAUAGGACAGAGGAGGACAAAAUGGAAGUAUGAAGAUUAGAGGUUUAUAUCGACAUAUUGAUAAAAUGUAUAUUUACCUAUAGGUGUUUGAGAAGUUUGCAGUUGUUAACUUGACUUUGUCCCUUAUACCUAGCUGAGGCCAGAUUUUCAGUUUGGUGACAUAGGGACAGCAUUUACCUAUUAUUCUUAUACUUGGUAGUAGCUGUUAAAAAUCUCACCAGCUAGGAAUUAGGAGUUGCUAAUGGUAGGUAUUUACAGUUUGUAAAUGGCCGUUACUUGCUAAAAAUUGCAACACCAUUUUAGUGAUUGACACUUGUCAGUAAAUUUACUGGAAACUUUUCAAAUUAGUUCUAUAAUUGUUCCUUUGAUCCCGCCAUAAAAACGGGAUCAUAUUUUUAUUAUUACUUUUAUUGCAUUGAUUAAACUGUUUAAAAUGUGAUGGUUUUCUUUUUUUAAAUUCUGCCAGCCUCCGUAGAAAAUGCAACGUGCAUUUUGUGGGAGAAACUGUGUGUGGUGUGGAAAAUGUAGUGUGUGUUUAGUCGGAGAGGUUGUGUAUAUAUGUGUAGAAUUCAGGAAUGCAGUUUGUGUUGAGUAGGGGAUGCUGUCUGUUGUGUUUGAUAUAAAUGCACAAUCAUGCAUAUACACUGUUCCCUUUAUUAAAUAUACAUUUUUCAUAUUUUUCCAGAUAUAAUAUUCACAUUACCUCCUCUUACUAAUAUUCCUAUAUAGUAUACACAACUAAACUGAUUUCCACGACAUUCCACUCGAUCUCUGGAAGAACAUCCAUCUGUCGAGUUGCUUCUGAAGCAAGACUCACAGUAAUUUCCAUUUGGUUCACCAAAGUUGUCGUUGUUCACAUCUGAAAGAGAUGAGAUCAUAUUUUAGAUACAAAACUCACGUAUCCCUGAACGAAGACAGAAAUCCAUGUCACUGAAAUGCAUGUAAGCGAUCUUAUAACGGGAUAACCUAAGCACCAAAACACCCAUGAAACAACAUUAUUUAAAAUUUGCAAUGCGCACGUCUACUAGUAGCUGUCAAAAAGACAGCUGUUAAUUGCUUCUGGGAGAAAUAGAUUUGGUUAUUGCGUCAGUUUGACGUCCAGUAAACAUGUAAAAUAUGCUCACACUGGAUGCGGUGUGCAUGCAAAACUUCUGAUAAAAAACCCCACUGGAUUGGUGGAUCACAGGAAAAGCACAUUUGCUGUGUGUUCUCAAUGCUUUUAUGUGAGAAGUAAUAAAAACAAAACCAGGAAUACACUGGGUAUGAACGAUAUGCAUUUAUUUUUGCAGUAUUAUUUUAAUUAUUAUUGCAGUAUCUUAAGAUCUGUCAAUAAUUAAGUCAGUUUGUUACCAGCUGUAACUACAAGUGUGCUUUGGAGUCCUUUAGUGCACUAACAGGUUUAAAAGACAUUAUCCCGGUAAGGUGGCAAACUGUUUUGCCUUCUCACUUGGCUUCCUGACAGCCACAGAGGCUCUUCUUUGGCCAGUGAUGUGUAUCUGGCUUCUUCAGAAAUUCAGAAGCCAGAUGCUGAAUUCACUGGCCAUUCACUCACUGGCUGAGAGGGUCAGCAUCGAUGUGCAUAGAAAUAUGCAUAUAAUUGACAUUAGUCACCCCUGGACUACCAUGGUAGCAAACGGUUUAAACGCCAAAUGUGCAUUGUUUCUUAGCAAAAUGCUGCACAUACAGAUUCCAGGCACCAUAACCACUUCUGAUCACUGAAGUGGUCAUUGUACAUGGAGUAACCAUUUAAUCUCAGAUAUGUUUGUCUUUAUAUACAUCUUCUUAAAAUGUAACUCUUGUAUAAAGUAUACUGUACAAGUAAGCAUUAUACUGUUUGUGGUUAUGCACUUACUAUUUAUUCUGAUGCAACCUAACUUAAUACAAAUCUUAAAAAUUGAAAAUUGAUCUGGGGUCAACUUGAUAAAAUUAGAAUAUGUUUUUAUAGUUGUUCACAUAUCCUGUAAAACAUUUAAAUAACAUUCUGAGUAUCUAAAAAUACUUACUAGUAAAUCCUGUUCCUUGGUUACAUAGAUCUUCUGGACAAUAGUCAAUGUUUACAUAGUUUGAUACUUGAUCUUUGUCAUUGACAGCUAACACUUGAUCUUCAUUAAUUCCUACAGCACAUCCUUUUUUAAUUGAAGGCACAAAUCUGUCUUCUGUAGAUAUAAAAAUAUAAAAAUAAAUUUAAUAUAUAGAGUAGACAAACACAUUUGUUGAACAAUAUGGCAUUUAAGGUCCAAAUUUGGAUAACAUUUGGCUCGGAGAGAAAGGGGGAAAACUUAGAAAAUAAUUUUGGAGAAACCCAGGCAAAAGAAAAACAUAUAGAUUUGCACAGAGAUGAGGGAAUACUGAGGGGGACAGAGAUGGCGUUUUUGUGAAGCCAACAUGUUGGCCUUUAAGGGUGUCCAAGGUGGGUUGUGCCAAUACUGCUUUUGGGGCUUUAGCUGAAGCCAAGUGAAUCAUAUGGGGGGCUUUAGCUCCACCCAAAAUAACCAUAUGGGGGGCAAGGCCUCAAGGGAACUCUGGCAGCACAGUUCCCUUGUGAGCCAUGUAAUGCUAGGGUAUGAUGUUACUUUGACCUCAGCAUCACUACAAGGUAUACAGGCAGAGCGCUGGGAUUCCAACAACAUCCAGCAGAGGAUCCACUCCAGCUCUCCUAGUUAUGGUAGGGAGGCUGCUCGGUUAGUUCAUUUUUUUUUAUUUUGUCCUUCAUUUUUUUUUAUUUUGUCCUUCAUUUUGGGAUAAUUAUUCGUUUUUGGAUAAAAUGAAUGAAAACAUAAUUUUACAUUCAUUUUUUGCGAUUUGUUGAAAAACAAGUGCACGCGUUUGCUUUGUUUGAUUGUCUAGUAAGAAUGUGCGUGGGGUUAUAUGUGUGUGAGAGAAUGAGUAUGGAUGUGGGCACUUACCAAAUUUUGCCUCUACAGGUGCAUUAAAAGUAAAUCCAGCCCUGUUUGGGAGCACUGCGGAUGUGCGAGUCACAAUUGUGUUGCUCUCACACAGACAUCCUUUGUGCCAGAUAAUGCCCUCAUGAUAUCUGUGUCUGUCACAUAACUGCGUGGAUUAAGAAUAGGAGGAUCUUGAAAAGAACGAAGCGCUUGCAGUGUGGGGGAGGGGUGGGUGGCAAAAUGCAUCUUUGUUUGUGGAGUCAAAUUCCCUGACCUGCAAUUGGAGGUAUAUUCUAAAAAUGCUAAAUUGUCUCUUCUCUCUGGAUGUUCUGCAGCUCACACGAAAGGUUAGUCUGCAAAAUUACAUGCUUAAACAAUACAUGAUGUAUGAAACAUGUAUACAUACACACAAACGUGCAAUGUAGAGAAAAAACAUAUACUAACUUAUACAUACCAACACAUGUAUUGUAAUAAAAAAAAAUAUAUAUAUAUAUACACACACACACACGCACACAUGCACACAAAUUUUGUGCAUACUUAUAAAAAGUAUGUUUAAUGGUUUUCUUGAUAUUCUUCAAGGGCAUCACCAUGGAGGGGUUCUAGGGGGAUUGAGAGGGGUUUGAAAGUUGAGGGACAAAUGUUUGCUAUAACUGUCUGAGUCUAUAUUUAGCUCCAGUUUAGCCCUUGGGAGCAGGGAGGUGGAGAUGGAUUUGAGUAGAGCAAAUUGCAUGAAAGGGAAACGAUAAGUGGAAGAGUGGAAGUAAGUUGGAAAGGGAAAGUGACAUGGGAAGGGUAUAAAUGAUGGGAAAAGAGAAAUUAAAAAAUAAAAUGUUUAGGGAAAGGAUAUGUUAAGUAGGCAUAAAAAGUGACAAUGAGAGGGACAGUGACAAGACAAAGAGAACAUGUAAAAAUAAACAGACCUACAUUCACACAUUCCCAUAUAUUCAAAGACACCCCAUUCCGACAUAUACACCCUGCAUUCACAUAUAUAAACAUAGCAUCCGUAUAUACAUCUCUGUGUUCACAUAUACUGAUAUAUUUGUAAUUGGGAAUAUACUAGUACGUUCAUACACACAGUGACUCCCCACACAAAUACACCCUACAUUCAUACACAAAGUGACAUUCCACACAAAUACUAACUACAUUCACACACAAUCUAUAUCACAUCAAAAAACCUCACAAUAUUCACACAAUAAUCCUGCUUGUCAUGGUUAUUUUUUUUUUUUUUUAUAAUAAUAUGUCACAAUUAUAUACUCUUCCAAUUUCCAUCUUGAGGCUGUGCUCUGGAUUCACCCCUGAGUACAGCUUAUUUUAUAAAUAGUCUAACAACCUGCAUGUCCAUAUUCUGCUGAGAGAAAUUACACUUACCAAUAGUACAGCUUUCGGACAGGGUUACACAACCUGCAUCACCACAUUCCACUAUGUUCUCUUCACUGUCACAGGUAAAUCCAUUUUGGUUAAGGCAAUCAACGCAUCUGACACCAUAAACUAAAAAAAUAACACUUUAGUUUUCCAUAUAUUUAAGUAUCAUUGUUAAAAAAAAAAAUUCACAUUGAGAACAUGUUUAAGCAAGCAUGAAUUUGGUUAAAAUGGGUGACGUGUCGUUCUUAAUAUAACCAAAAUAUCAUUAUACAUUUGGGGCUGUAUUCUCUACUUAUUGAAUAGCAAUACCUCAACUGAGGUUUAUGUGAACAUGGCUAUUCAGUAGCAGAGAAAUCCUUAACACUGAUUAGAGAAUCUAUCCCUUGAUUAUAACAUUGAGGUAUUUUUUAUUUUUUAUUUUAAGGUUGUGAGUGUGGCCAGAGGCAGGGCUGUUUGCAGCAAAAGUGUAAUUUAGAACAAGAACAAUGUUUUUUAUUUACACAAAAUGAUUUCUCAACACAUUCAUAGAUUAAAGUAGCAUUUAAGCAACAAAUGUAAAUAUAUAGAAUAACUCCUUAAGGACAGAACUUCAGAAGUAAAAGACCAGUAUGAUGGGAAAUGUCCUUGAGGGAUUAAAGACACAUUGGUGUGAGUAUUAUUGCUGUAAGAGGGAGUGAAUGAGACAUGGUUGGAGGGUGAAAGUGACAUGGUUGGAGGAGUGAGUGUUACUGGUGAGGGGAGGUAAGUGUGACAGGAUUAGGGAGUGAAUGUGCCAGGGUGAAUAUGGCAUGUUUGGGGGGGGGGGGGGUUAGUAUCACAGGCUUCGGAUGAAUGUGCGAUGGUUGGAGGAGUAAGUGCAAUACAAUCAAAACAAAAUGUGGUGAGAGCACACUAAAAGGCAUACACAUCACCACACAUGUAAAUGGAAUAGUCCUGUAAAUAAAACAGAAAAGGAAAACACAUAGGGUAAUACCGUUCUACAAAAGUGAAACCUUAUUUAAAACCUAGAUUUAUAUUCAGAGGAGCAAAGAAUUUUUAAGUUGCAAAUUAAGUGAAUUUUAAAAUCUUUUUGAAUGUAUUCUUUCUCGAUUUGCAUCCUCUACAUUCUCCACAAUAAUAGAAAACAUUUUGUAUUUCCUUCAUUUUCUUUAUCUAAAAAACUUUGUUUAAAAUUCUUUGCUCCUCUGAAUAUAAAUCUAGUUUUUAAUUAAGGCUUCACUUUUUUAUAACGUUUUUUUUCCCCUGUUUUGUUUUAUUUACAGGACUAUUCCAUUUACAUGUGUGGUGAUGUGUAUGCCUUUUAGUGUGUUCUCACCACAUUUUGUUUUGAUUGUAUUGCACAUGUGUGUGGUGCAGUGACCUACAUCCUUUUACACUAUUUGUUUUUAUUGGCGGGGUAAGUGUGACAGGGCAAGGGAAGGUGAAUGUGACAAGAUUAAGGUGGGUUAAUUGACAGGGUUAGUGUAGCAGAGGGGGAAGGGUGAGUGUGGCAGGGUUGGUGGAGUGACAGGGUUGGGGGUUAGUGUGGCACGGUUGGUGAAGGGAAUGUGACAGGACGAGAACAGGUGGAUGUAACAGAAUUAGAGGAUUAAUGUGAUAGGAUGAGUGUGGUAGAGUGAUGUGAGGCGAGUGCGGGAUGUUUGGAGGUUGUAGUGUGAUGGGAUCAGGAGGGGUUAAUGUAAGUGUGGCAGGGAGAAGGAAGGUUACAGUGUGUGGAGGGUGGUGACAGUGUAUGAAGGGGUUGAGUAUAUGUGUGGAGGGUAGGCGACAGUGUGUGGAAGGGGGAUGACAGUGUGUGGAGGGGGAAGGACAGUGUGCAGAGGUGACAGAAUGUAAAGGGGGUGACAUAGUGUGUGUGAAGGGGUGAGAGUGCGUGUUAAAAGGGGUUGACAUAGUGAUAGACUGUGUGCGGAGGGUGAUACUGUGUAGAGGGGGUGACAGACUGUGUGGAGGCUGGGUGACAGACUGUGUGGAGGGGUGUGACAGGCUGUCUGGAGGGAGGUGGCAGGCUGUCUGGUGGUGGGUGACAGACAGUGGAGGGGGUGACAGAGUGUGUGAAGGGGGAUGACAGAGUGUAUGGAGGGGGGGUGAUAGACUGUGGAGGGAGGUGACAGAGUGUGUGGAGGGGGUAACAAACUGUGGAGGGAGGUGAUAAACUGUGAAGGGGGUGACAGACUGUGGAUGGUGUGACAGAGUGUGGUGAUGGUGUGACAGUGUGUGGAGGGGUGACAUAGUGUGUGGAGGGUGUGAAAGAGUGUUUGGAGGGGGUGACAGACUGUGGAGUGGGAGUGACAGAAUGUAUGUAAAAUACCUUUUUGUAUUUCUGAAACAAUUCCGUGGUGGUCUAGUGGUCUCCAUCUAUCCCUGGUGAUCCGGUGGGCUGGCACUUUGGUAUGCAGCUCCUCUGGGUGCAGAGCUGUAGACCACAUGGGUAAGUGUGUUGCAAUUUCCAGUUUGAGAGGGUUGCCGUAGUAACCUGCGGCAAAACUCCGAAACUGGAGAUCGCGAGGCACGUCAGUCUGCAGCUCUGCACCACCAGAACUGCAGACUGAAAACUGUGUUGGGCACUCUCUCGGGUAGACUAUGCGGAGGAGCCUCGCACCCUGCCACAUAAUGGGCAAGCCGCCAGGCCCCCUCCUGUGUCGGGUACUUGGUCACAGAGCGAGGACCCGACACUUCAGUCUGCCCUAUGGUAGGUUAGAUGGCCACGAGGCCCCUGUCAGCGUGAGGCCGUAGGCAGACACUUAAAUUGCCUAAUUAGAGAGCCACCUUUGAUUAUAUAUGUAAUGUAUGUAUCUAUAUGAUAUAUGAAGUAUAACCAAAUUUCAGAUUUCUCACAUCUGUGAUUGGUGCCUCAUUAUCAUCAUCAUUUACUGUAACACAAUAACCAAUAUUUUACCUAAAUCAGGUAUAAUAUACAUUCAUUUCUUUUAAAAAUAAUACUUAAAAAAAUUAAUACCAAAAGGUGUCUACUAAAAGGAUUUAUAUAAUGUAGGCAUUGCAAAUUAUUUAUAAGUUUUUUUGUCAUAUAGUCACAAGUCUAUUCACUAACAGAGUUAUUCACUAAAGUGAGAAUUUUUAAUUUAAGGCCAAAAUGGUCAAAUUGGAAGUUAAGCGUACUUGUAACUUUGUUUGGCUUUAAAUAUGAAAUUACUUUGAAAAAACAGGUAAAGGGUAAUGCAAUAUUUAAUAAACUUUCACAAUAUCCCAUAGCUGUCCUGAAUGUAUUAUAAUACGAAAAGAAAAUCUCACCUGGUGAUAGCAGAGAUGACAACAUACAGAGCAAUAUGAUAACGGGUGUCAUGAUGUUUGACUGUCAGAACUGAUUCUUUCUGUGUUCAACCUGAUGUUUUCAAAAACUGUGAAAUAUCACUCAAGACAGUUAUAUUUAUACUUCUAUCUUGAAGAUGAGGUCAUCAUAAACAAAUGUAUUUCCUGUUCAACUCACUCACAUAGUCAACAGAAGAAAAGGAAGUAGCAAAAAAAAAAAAAAAGGCAAGUAGCCAACUUUUAGCAAAUUUUGUAUCCUACUUAAAAAGAAAAAAAAAUGUAGCAUUUGCCUUGGGCGGUACUUUGCAGGGGGCGGGAAAAAAAGCCACCCCCAAGCUCCCAGGUGUAUCCCUUGUUUGCCUUGUGUCUUAGGGGGCUCAAAAUCUGUCCAGCUGGCCACUUUUGAGCCCCCUCAAGGUGGGCGGCAGCUUCUAUCCCGGUGGACAGCAAGGGAGCAUGCUCACCUGAGCUCUUCAUGCUCAGCUCCCUCGCAAGCCACUUAAUGAAGCCAGGAGCUGGAAUAUUACGUCACUCCAGCUCCUGCCAUCACUAAGCGGCACGCAAGGGAGCUGAGCAGGAUUAAGAGCUCCCUCGCCGCCUUCUAUGCCUGUUCGUCCCCUACCUGCCCGCGCAGUAGCCCCACUGGACUGCAGGUAAGUAAUCCACUCCAGCUCUCCCAGGGAGGCUGGGUGGAUUUAAAUUAAAAUUAAAAACAAAAUAAUAAUUUGUGAGUGUUGGGGAAAAUGUCUGUGUCUGUGAGUAUGAAUGUGUGUGUUUCUCUGAGUGAGUGUAUCUGUGAAAGUGUGUUUGUCUGUGAGUGAGUGUCUGUAAGUGAGUGUGUGCAUCCGUCAGUGAGUAUCUGAGUAAUAAUGUGUGUCUGUCAGAGUGUGUCAAAUCAGUGAGUGUUUGUGUAUGUUUUUGUCAGUGUAUAUGAGAGUGUGUGUCUGUCAAUGAGUGUAUGUGUCUUUCAGUGAGUGUGUGCAUCUGUCAGUGAGUGUGUGUCUGUCAAUGUGUGUCUGUUAGUGUGUCAGUUCAGUCAGUGUGUAUGUUAUUGUUUCUCGGUGUGUAUGAGAGUGUGUGUGUGUCUGUUAGUGAGUGUGUGUCUGUCUGUCAGUGAAAGUUUGUGUUGGUUAAACUGUAUGUGUGCCAAUGACUAUCUUUUAGUGAGUGUAUCUCAAUGAAUGCAUCAGUAAAAAAGUGUCUGUCAGUCAAAGUGUGGCAUUGACAGGAAGGGGUGGGGAAUAUGAGGGGGAGGAGAGGGGUGCCCGAGCAUCAUCCUGCCUAGGGCAGCACAAAUCCAAAAAUACACCACUGAACAUAGGCCCAGCAAGCCAAUCUGGCAAAUUCCAAUGAUCAAAUAUGGAAAAAGGGAAAGCACUACAUUUGACCCCUGUAAGUUUGCAAAAAAACAAAAAACAAAACAUAAAAUCUGUACAUUGGGGGCACUGUUGUACUUGGGAGAUGUUGCUGAACACAUAUUGGGGUGUUCUUUGUCAGUAACACAUAACAGGAACUGAUAAUCCAUGCCUAAAGUACAAUGUGAGAGAAAAAUAACACAAAAAAAUGACUACCCAAAGGUUUGACAAAGACUGGUGGUAGAAUUAGUGCAUGGAAAUUGUUAAAAUACCACCAUUUCAAAUUCCCUAGGGUUUCUACUUUUCAAAAAUAUAUGGUCUGAUGGGGGUAAAUUACAUUGGCUGGGUUCAAACAUGUCCCAAAUAGGACAUGGGUGGUGGUUGACCAGCUGUGAAAAUUCCAAAUUGAAAAACUGGAGUGUGCACCCUCCAAAUAAGAUCUUUUAGCCCCCAGAGAACCCAACACACCUAUCACUGCACUCGAGAGAUGUUGUUGAACUAAUAUUGGGGUGUUCUACUGUACUAAUAGCUCUAUAACUUUCCAAAAAAAACUAAAACAUAUUCACAUUAGGCAUUUCUAAACUCAGGACAAAAUUUAGAAAUAGUGUUUUUAUGUGUUUUUUGGCGGUUGUAGAUGCGUAACAAAUUUUGGGGGUCAAAUUAAAAAAAAGUGUGUUUUUUUCAUCAUAUUUUAUAAUUUUUUAUAAUAAGUUAUAUGAUAUGAUGAAAAUAAUGGGAUCUUUAGAAAGACGAAUUAAUGGCAAAAACAAUGGUAUGUAAUAUGUGUGAUACAAUAAAUGAGUGAGAGGAAGAUUACAGCUAAACACAAACACCGUAGAAAUGUAAAAAGAGCCCUGGUCCUUAACGGUAGGAAAAUUGUAAAACGGUAUGGUCACUAAGGGGUUAAUAACAUUUUUCACUUCAUGAAGCUGUAUAUACUUUAUUUUCCCCUUUCAAUGUGCCAGUGUAGAAUAAGCCCUUAUUUAGGGCAUUUUCCAUUUUUUUUUGGUAUUUAUUGUUUCUAGGGUUCAGACCCGUUGGUGGAUCUGGUGCUGACCACUAUGUCCCAAACCCAAUAAGUUCUUCAUUUUUUAUUCCCCAGAGAGAUGAUCUCCACUGGACCCCAGGAAGAGUACCCACACCAGCUAUCCCAAAGGUAGUUAAGCUGGAUGAUCCUAAAAAAAAUAAAACACAAGAAAUAAAAUUAAUUUGUGAUUCUGUUUGCUAGAAUGUGUAGAUUUGUGAUUCUGUUAGUGUGUAUUUAUAUCUGUCAGUGAGUGUCUGUCAGUGAGUGUCUGUCAGUGAAUGCAUUUCAAAUCAGUGAGACAGUGUGUCUGUCAUUGACACAGUGUGUCCGUGUGUCUAUCAGUGUGUGUCUGUCAGUGGUUGACUGUUAAUGAGUGUUUGUCAGUAAGUGUGUCUUUCAGUGUGUGUGUGUGUGUCUGUCAGUGAGUGUGUUUCAAAUCCGUAAGAUUGUGUAUCUGUCAUUGAAAGUGUGUCAGUGUGACUGUGAGUGAAUGUGUGUCUAUCAGUGAUUGUUUUUGUCAGUGAGUGCUAUUGUCAUUGAGUCUGUCUGUCAGUGUGUGUCAAAUCAUUGAGUGUGUGACUGUCAAUGAGUGUGUCUGUAAGUUAGAGUGUGUAUCAGUGUGUUUAUCAGUAAGUGUGUCUUUCAGUCAGUGUCAAUUCAAUAAGUAUUUGUCUCUCAUUGACAGGGGGCAUUAUGCAUUUUCUAUUUUUGAUAACAACUGAAGUUCCAUCUUCUGUACUGGUUUAGAGGCCAGCAGCCAAGAGAAGGGAUCCUGGUUUAGGCACCCCUCUACACCCCCAACAUUCAAAGAGGAGACACCUUAAAGUGACAUGCAACAGUCAUCAUCCUGUGAGUGCAACUCUGCUUGUGCAUACAGUUGCAAGAUAAAGUAUGUGAACCCUUUGGAAUGAUAUGGAUUUCUCCACAAAUUGGUCAUAAAAUGUGAUUUGAUCAUCAUCUAAGUCACAACAAUCACAGUCUGCUUAAACUAAUAACACACAAAGAACGAAAUGUUGCCAUGUUUUUAUUGAACACACCAUGUAAACAUUCACAGUGCAGGUGGAAAAAGUAUGUGAACCCUUGGAUUUAAUAACUGGUUAAACCUCCUUUGGCAGUAAUAACUUCAACCAAACAUUUCCUGUAGUUGCAGAUCAGACGUGUACAAUGGCCAGGAGUAAUUCUUGACCAUUCCUCUUUACAGAACUGUUUCAGUUCAGCAAUAUUCUUGGGAUGUCUGGUGUUAAUCGCUUUCUUGAGGUCAUGCCACAGCAUCUCAAUCGGGUUGAG